ACUGGGAACUGCUGGGUCCCGAUCCAGGUCGGCUCCGCAGAGGCCAGAGCAAGCUUGCGGGGAAACCAGUUAUGCGGGUCCAGCCGGUUCUCGGCGGACACAACAUCUUUGUUUGUAUGUGGUGCUGAGGAUCGAACCCGGGCCGCACGCAUGCUAGGCGAGUGCGCUACCGCUUGAGCCACAUCCCCAGCCCAAGAUGUUAAUUUAGUCGUAAGCAAUUUUACAACUGGUUCCUUGCAGAAUCGCAUGAGUCAAGUUUUUCUGCCCAACACAAAGUCAACAGAUGAGCAAAGCUUGAUUCUUCCAUGGUGAUAAGACAGGAUCUCACUAUGUCACUCAGAACAUCCUUGGACUCCUGGUCUCAAGCAAUCCCAGGCAUGCACCACUACUCCCAGCAAGAUUCGUCCAUUUCUUACAAGUUUGAACACUUUAGUUGCAGAAGAGUAGUAAAUCCUGUCUUAUUGGCACAACACAAUUUGCUUAUUAUUCAUUUGCUGAUGGUCAUUUGAAUUAUUUCCACCUUUCGGUCAUUAUGAAAAAUGCUGUUGUGAACAUUCAUGUGUGGUUCUUCACGGCUAUACAUUGUCAUUUCUCUCAGAUAAAUAUGUAGGAGUGUUAUCGCUGGGUUAUAGAGUGUGUCAAAACUUUAUAAGGACCAUCAAGCCAUUUCUCUGAGGGACUGUGCCAUUGUGGAUCUCCAUCAGCAAUCUAUAAGCAUUCUGGUUAUUCCCCUCCUCAUGACACUUGGGAUUGUCAAGUCUUUUUUGGGGGGGAGUGGGGGUUAAUAAAAACUUUAUUGUUGUAUUAUGUUCUCCUUUCAUUUUCAAUAUCCCACCCCACCUUUCUCUACUGUUACAUUAGGACUAAAUAUUCCAUGACUUGGCUACUAACCACUUAUGGUGCUCAGUGACCAAACAGACACCUCUCUAUAAAAAUAUCACUAAAUUCAUUCAUAAAUCUGUGUUACAUUAAAACUUUUUCUCAGUUUUAAUUACAAUUAUGUAUCUUAAAUCCAAAGAGGUGAUUAAAGGUGCUCAUGAAUAAUUUGAU
Marmota monax (woodchuck) is the source of this 1050-nucleotide long non-coding RNA. RefSeq lists it as uncharacterized. NCBI's taxonomy places the organism in Eukaryota, Metazoa, Chordata, Mammalia, Rodentia, Sciuridae. The transcript has 3 exons. The record is from RefSeq and is a predicted model, not a curated record.